Long non-coding RNA from Xiphophorus couchianus (Monterrey platyfish), 3405 nucleotides. RefSeq lists it as uncharacterized. The record is from RefSeq and is a predicted model, not a curated record. The transcript is spliced from 3 exons. Lineage: Eukaryota; Metazoa; Chordata; Actinopteri; Cyprinodontiformes; Poeciliidae.
GAGGAGAGGAAGAGGGAGAGAGAGAGAGCAUAUUAGUGAUCUGAAGGAGCAUACAUGACAGGAAGACAGUAGUUUAGCUUCAGUCAGCAGUGCUGCAGCAGAGCAUGGACGGAGAUGAUUCAUUCUGAAAGAUGGUGAAUAUUGACCGUGCUGCUGUACCAGUGCAGCUGACACACUGUUCAAGGGCUGCCGUACAAUAAGAUAAUGAGGCGCAGCCAUCUUAAAAGGGAGUAAACACGAGCAGAGCCAGGAGGCUUUAAAGGAGCAGAGCUAUUAGAGAAAAUGGCUCAGCUUCAUGGUUGGCUCAAAAGAUUCUUUAAGGUGGAACUGCACCAUCCUCCUUUUUACUUCCCCCUUUUUUGGUCCUUUAAUCUUCUACGAUCAAGCACUUUUGCCGCCCUCUCCUUUGUCUGUUGCUCCUUGGGUUCUUGCCACUCUGACAAAAAGCUGCAGCUGUAAUAAAAGGUGCAUUUUUAUAAUGAGGGUCGAAGAGGAUUUAGAAACUGCAGGGGCAUUCAGUCAAACUCAAUGCAGCAGAAAUAAUGAUGCCUCUUAAGUACCUUUGCAGUCACUGGUAAGAUGCAGUGCUUGCAUGCACUGAUGGAACAAGCAGGCACAUCGGACGCAUUCGUAUCUUUUCCGUUUCUGCUGAGCGUUCAGGUCAGGUGAUUUAGGAGGAGCACAGUUUGAACAUUACGAAGCGGCAGAAAACUUUGGGAGAUUCGUGGACGCGAACUCCUGGGAAAAACAAGUAGCUGAGUCUGUUCUAAUGAGCUCUAGGAAGUAAUGGUGACACUAAAGAGAUACUGGGUUUGUAUAUGUGUCUAUGUGCUUGGUUGGGCUAAAAAUAUCCUCUGCCAUUGGUCACAUUUCUCUAUCCAACAUCAUCUCUCAUCACACUCUUAUUCUGUCUUUUCGGUCUCCAGCUUGCUUUGUCAGCUACAAACCGUGUCUCCUCGCACCGUUUCAAGGAUGAACGUUCCUUGGCAGGGAGUAAAUCCGUCUAUCGUCUGGCUGCGACGUCACUUGCCAGCUUCCUCUUGCAGAUAUGUUUACGCCUUCCCUCACAACAAGAGAAAACAACAAAUCAGGCCCCUUGCAGGUGGUGUCAAGAGGUUUGUCACUCUCCCAUCCACACUGGAAAUGUGAAAAUGAGUGUUCCGCUCGCUUCUUCUGGAGGGAAUAUCAGCCGGAGUGAAACUGACACAAAUCCCCUCUUCUGCUGGCAGCCAAGCAAAUGAAAAUGCAACCAAGUUUCCCCUGCCUCAGUCAGGCGAAUAUGAUGGGUUUGUACACAAUAUCUUGUGUGGUGUUGCUCCAGUUUUGCGAAUGCAUGCCAGUCUCGGCAUUUAAGCUCAGUUUCCUGCUCCAGUUUGCUAGAGGCCUACAGAGACACAGUACUGUGUUUGAGACGUUAGACUGAAGAAAGAAACAAAGUCAUUUGGUUGAAAAGACACAUAAAAACCAAUUAUUCUUCUAGAUUCUUCAGUCCUUAAGGAUAUUUUUGGAGACAAUGGAAACUGCCCUGUACACUGCUCUAAUUUGUGGAGUCUACGGGUUAUUAUUCAAACAAAAGAUUUUCAUAAAAGUUUCUCAAACUUUUCCUUGUUUCAAAAACCCAAUUUAUUCAGUUUACUUCCAACUGACAUGCUAUUUUGUUAGACUCAGUAAAGAACUUUGUCCAUUUAAAAAUUGAAUUAUUUAAUUAAAUUAUUUAAAUAUUCCCCACUCGCCAGUGAUUAAACUUGGCUAAAUUCAGCAAGCUCAGACCCGUUACAAUCUUGUUGCUCAGAGGAGACAAAUAAAAACUCUAGCCCAAAAAACUAAAUUAAUUGACCCUCCAAAAGUUUUAAAUUAUAAGCCUUUCUUUGAUUCAAGACCCUUUUAUACUUUGGAUCAACAACAAUUUUCUACAAAAACACAACUGUUUAUUAACUUGUUUUGUUUAAUAUAUUUUUGAGUAUUAAAAAAUAUCAUAAAAGAUUUGCUUUUUUUAUUUUAAGAAAUGUAAGAUUUUUGUGGCCUUUGCACUAAAUGACUUUGACCAUCUCGACAAAAAGUUUGGACACUUUUGCUCCUGGAUAUUGACACAGAGACUGCAGAGUUUGUAAUGCUCGCUUUGCUCCCCCAUUAAUGGCUAAGAUACGGUUGUUCGGAAUGCAAGCUCCACAAUCAUUUUGUCUUUAAUUUAAAAUUAAAAGUCUGCUUUGUUUUGAAGUGACUCGUCGUCAUUGCUGUGCUUAUUUCUUCUUUUGCAUUGCUAUUCAUACAUUUAUAUUCGUAAAGCCUUGGCUUUUCUAAAAAUGGAGAAAGGAAGUUGUCUCAAAAUUGACAGGACUCCACCUGUCAAUCAUUCUGCGAGGCUCGUCAGCCACUGACCAAUCGGCGGUCGCAAUUUGUGUCGUAGACGCACCUUAUCCGGAGGAAGUAAAUGCUAACACGUUGCGAUCAUAAAGAGUUUGCGGAAAAUAAUAGGAAAUCAUGGUUCAGCGAUGUCAGUGACCUGACAGCUGUUACCUAGAGUUUUCAGCGGGCGGAUUUUAACUUGUUACAUUUCCAAAACCCAAACGGAGUCUGGGAUGAUGCAAGAGAUGAAUCGAGGUCUGCGGCCGACCUCACGUCCACUUGAAUGAAACUGUGAUCAACACCUACCACAUGUUGUCUGCGAGAAGGGUUUUAACUUUGGCCUCUGAAUAAGCUUGUUGGAGGUGAUGGAGGAUCUCAGAGGAAGGCAGAGCACUUUGGCUGAUUUCCAGAAAACGAAGAUGGACGACUCCACAGCUAAAUCUGCAGAGAUGCUCAGAUGCUUUCAAAGAGAAACCUCCACCACACAUACACAAAAAGACUUCAAACGGAGAUGAAUUCAGCCUGGUGAAGUAUAUUUUCAGAACCUGCAUCUGUGAGUUGUCCGUGUAGGUAGACAUGGUUCACCUGCGCCCACAUGCUUCUGAAACAACUGCACUGUUGCCGAUAGCUAGCAAAACAUUUGUUUAGUCUCACCCCUGUGUCCUGUCAGAUCUCAUACAUAUCAUUACACCAAGAAAUGAUGUGUGAAAUGAUGACUGCAUGGAACAUGCUGAAGGAAAAUCCUCCACCUGCAUUCACAAUCAAGUUCACCUAUACAAAGAAAUAAUGACAGCUACUAUUAUCCACUCAAUAUUUCUUUCUCAGCAUAGUGUGGGUUAUAUAUAUGCUUUAAAGUCUUUGUAUCAAGCUGUUUCAAUCCAUUUAAUCCAAAAAAGGUGCUAUAAAUGUGAAACUGCCUCACAUUUUUGUCCCUGCUAUUAGCUUCAAAGCUUUUGUUAUGUAAAGUCGUAUCUUUAUUCUCAAAAAUUGCCAAUUAGCUUAUUCAUAGUUAUGAUCAAAUUGGAUUGUAAGUAAUUAAAAAUCUUAUAGUCUAAAUGA